GCCCCCAUGGUGUAAUGGUUAGCACUCUGGACUCUGAAUCCAGCAACCCGAGUUCAAAUUUCGGUGAGGCUU
Molecule: transfer RNA, 72 nt
Filed under: Ornithorhynchus anatinus (platypus)
Lineage: Eukaryota; Metazoa; Chordata; Mammalia; Monotremata; Ornithorhynchidae
Rfam family: tRNA
About the family: Transfer RNA (tRNA) molecules are approximately 80 nucleotides in length. Their secondary structure includes four short double-helical elements and three loops (D, anti-codon, and T loops).
Source: Rfam by way of RNAcentral